This 623-nucleotide long non-coding RNA is filed under the name Sinocyclocheilus grahami. Its description in RNAcentral is "lncRNA (ENSSGRG00000012527.1)". The record is from RNAcentral. Lineage: Eukaryota; Metazoa; Chordata; Actinopteri; Cypriniformes; Cyprinidae.
AAUUUUUUGUCUACAAAGAAGAAACUAAGGAAGAAUAUCUUGCAGAAGGUUUGUUCAUUAGCAUUUCAUUCGUGAAAUACAGCAAAAUCAAAUGAACAACAUCCUUAUCUCCUACCUUUUCAUUUCUGAAAGUUUGCUGUGGAAUAAAACCUGUCAACAAAUAUUUUGUGAAGGAUGGCACGGGGAACAAGGUCUUCAGUAUUCUUGAGGACAGCGACUGUUGUGACAGGUCUUUCUGUGCUAGUGGACGUUCUUUCAUAAUGAAUGUUACAGACAACUCAAAUCAAGAGGUCAUCAGACUGGUGCACCCGUCUGCUUGCUGCUACGGCAGCCAUGAGCUGCUGUCUUUGAAUGAGGAAGUGACAGAAAGAUCAUUUGGCAAAAUCAUCAAACCUUUCUCAUGCUGUGGAUCAAAUGCAGAUUUUGUGUUGAGGUUUCCAAGCAACCUGGAUGUCAAAAUGAAAGCUACUCUACUGGGGGCCUGCAUACUUAUUGACUCCGUGAAUUAUCACACGUCACAUGGUGAACCGCUCUUGUGUACCUCCAUAUCAUUGGCAUUCGGCUAUUGGAAAAUGUCCUAGGUGGGGCUGUGCCACAUCCAACAAUUUCAGCAAACAUCCCAG